ACCUCUCUCCUUCCCCAAGACCACCAACCUCCCAGCCACCAUGGCGGACAAGGAGCAGGUUAGACCGCUAGCCCCUGCCUCUAUCCGCCCUCGUAGUGAUGACGAAGAAACCGCCCUAUACCUUAAAAAAUCACACCGAACAAAGUGCAUCAAGUGUUGUGGUUGCAUAGCUGCUCUCUUUGUCAUCCUUGUCAUAGUACUCAUAAUCUUGAUUUUCACAGUUUUCAAAGUCAAAGACCCCAUCAUAAAAAUGAACAGUGUCAAGGUCAAUAAGCUCGACCUCAUCACCGGCACGACGACGCCACGC
RNAcentral lists this unclassified non-coding RNA (307 nucleotides) under uncultured bacterium. RNAcentral describes it as "contains 16S-23S intergenic spacer region". The record is from RNAcentral.